RNAcentral lists this ribosomal RNA (194 nucleotides) under Clostridium botulinum. RNAcentral's name for it is "partial 23S ribosomal RNA". It matches the Rfam family "Bacterial large subunit ribosomal RNA", at positions 2735 to 2925 of the family's 2925-position model. Lineage: Bacteria; Bacillati; Bacillota; Clostridia; Eubacteriales; Clostridiaceae. The record is from RNAcentral.
GCAUAGCUGGGUAGCUAAGUCGGGACGGGAUAAACGCUGAAAGCAUCUAAGCGUGAAGCCUCCUUCAAGAUGAGAUUUCCCAUAGCGUAAGCUAGUAAGACCCCUUGAAGACUACAAGGUUGAUAGGUCAGAGGUGUAAGUGUGGCAACAUAUUUAGCUGACUGAUACUAAUAGGUCGAGGGCUUGACCAAUAA